AAUAUUGGACAAUGGGGGCAACCCUGAUCCAGCCAUGCCGCGUGUGUGAAGAAGGUCUUCGGAUUGUAAAGCACUUUAAGUUGGGAGGAAGGGCUUUAUGCUAAUACCCUGAAGUUUUGACGUUACCAACAGAAUAAGCACCGGCUAACUCUGUGCCGGCAGCCGUGGUAAUAAAGAGGUGGCAAGCGUUAAUCGGAAUUACGGGGCGAAAACGGCGCGUAGGGGUUGCAGUAAAAGGGUGAUAAAACCCCCGGCCUAACCUGGGGAACUGCUUUCAUAACUGUGGUGCAGGGGUAGGGGGGAGGGUAGGGGAAUUCCUGGUGUAGCGGGAAAAGGGGAAGAAAAGGGAAGAACAACCGGUGGAGAAGAGGACUACCUGAACGAAUAUUGAAACGGAGGGGCGAAAGGGGGGGGGGAAAAA
RNAcentral lists this ribosomal RNA (421 nucleotides) under uncultured bacterium. RNAcentral's name for it is "partial 16S ribosomal RNA". It matches the Rfam family "Bacterial small subunit ribosomal RNA", at positions 360 to 773 of the family's 1533-position model. The record is from RNAcentral.